RNAcentral lists this ribosomal RNA (285 nucleotides) under Oxyrrhis marina. RNAcentral's name for it is "partial Bacterial large subunit ribosomal RNA". It matches the Rfam family "Bacterial large subunit ribosomal RNA", at positions 1993 to 2277 of the family's 2925-position model. The record is from RNAcentral. Lineage: Eukaryota; Dinophyceae; Oxyrrhinales; Oxyrrhinaceae.
CGAAUGGCGUAACGACUUCCCCACUGUCUCCAGCAUAGACUCAGUGAAAUUGAACUCUCCGUGAAGAUGCGGAGUUCCUGCGGUCAGACGGAAAGACCCCGUGAACCUUUACUGCAGCUUGGCUGUGGCACCGGAAAUAAUAUGUGUAGGAUAGGUGGGAGGCUUUGAAGCAGCGGCGCCAGUCGUUGUGGAGCCAUCCUUGAAAUACCACCCUUAUCUUCGUGGAUGUCUAACUGCGGUCCGUUAUCCGGAUCCAGGACAGUGUGUGGUGGGUAGUUUGACUGG